UGGGGAAUAUUGCGCAAUGGGGGGAACCCUGACGCAGCCAUGCCGCGUGAACGAAGAAGGCCUUCGGGUUGUAAAGUUCUUUCGGUAUUGAGGAAGGUUGAUGUGUUAAUAGUACAUCAAAUUGACGUUAAAUACAGAAGAAGCACCGGCUAACUCCGUGCCAGCAGCCGCGGUAAUACGGAGGGUGCGAGCGUUAAUCGGAAUAACUGGGCGUAAAGGGCACGCAGGCGGUUAUUUAAGUGAGGUGUGAAAGCCCCGGGCUUAACCUGGGAAUUGCAUUUCAGACUGGGUAACUAGAGUACUUUAGGGAGGGGUAGAAUUCCACGUGUAGCGGUGAAAUGCGUAGAGAUGUGGAGGAAUACCGAAGGCGAAGGCAGCCCCUUGGGAAUGUACUGACGCUCAUGUGCGAAAGCGUGGGGAGCAAACAGGAUUAGAUACCCUGGUAGUCCACGCUGUAAACGCUGUCGAUUUGGGGGUUGGGGUUUAACUCUGGCGCCCGUAGCUAACGUGAUAAAUCGACCGCCUGGGGAGUACGGCCGCAAGGUUA
RNAcentral lists this ribosomal RNA (547 nucleotides) under uncultured bacterium. Its description in RNAcentral is "bacterial SSU rRNA". It matches the Rfam family "Bacterial small subunit ribosomal RNA", at positions 355 to 896 of the family's 1533-position model. The record is from RNAcentral.